GGCCCUUGGCCGAUCCUCUCUGCCUUCAGGUCGGCAUCGAAUGAACCUAUUGAGCCGACCUCGUCUGAUGAGCUCCUCGAUCUCGUCCCAGACCUGAAUGCACUCCUCUAUAUCGUGGUCGUGGUCACGAUGGUAGAGGCAGAACUUGUUAGGAUUACGCUUCGCAGGGUGUGUGCGCAUCCUUUCUAGCCUUGGCAGCUGCUCCCUGACCUCCAUCAGCACUUGGAUUUUUGAGGCAUUGAGGGAGGCAUAAUUGUGGAAUCUUCCCGAUGG
RNAcentral lists this long non-coding RNA (273 nucleotides) under Elaeis guineensis (African oil palm). Its description in RNAcentral is "long non-coding RNA (EGUI_LNC080753)". The record is from RNAcentral. Lineage: Eukaryota; Viridiplantae; Streptophyta; Magnoliopsida; Arecales; Arecaceae.